AUGCGUAGGAAGAGAAACCAAGUUGAUUGUGUUUUGAAUAUUUUGAUAUUUAAGAUUUUUUGCAACAUUUACCCCUAUAGGCUUCCUAGAAUAUCCGCUGCCGACCGUGAUCUCCGAUGCGUUUCGUUGUUGGCCGACAUGACGACGGAGAAGCCGGUCCCAGGCAUUCCCAAAUCGCGUGGUCUGAUGCCCAAUGUAGUUCUGAUCCUCUUGAAUUCGCCGUGCGCAUGGGGAGGAGAUGUUGCCCGCUGUGCGGUUGACUGCGAGGAGCUUGGGCUGUUAUUUGACUACUUCCGCGGACAGCAGCAACCUCUGUGA
RNAcentral lists this ribosomal RNA (318 nucleotides) under Triticum aestivum (bread wheat). RNAcentral's name for it is "partial small subunit ribosomal RNA". Lineage: Eukaryota; Viridiplantae; Streptophyta; Magnoliopsida; Poales; Poaceae. The record is from RNAcentral.